RNAcentral lists this ribosomal RNA (253 nucleotides) under uncultured bacterium. RNAcentral's name for it is "partial 16S ribosomal RNA". It matches the Rfam family "Bacterial small subunit ribosomal RNA", at positions 524 to 776 of the family's 1533-position model. The record is from RNAcentral.
UACGAAGGGGGCUAGCGUUGUUCGGAAUUACUGGGCGUAAAGCGCACGUAGGCGGAUCUUUAGGUCAGAGGUGAAAUCCCAAGGCUCAACCUUGGAACUGCCUUUGAUACUGGGGAUCUCGAGUCCGGGAGAGGUGAGUGGAACUGCGAGUGUAGAGGCGAAAUUCGUAGAUAUUCGCAAGAACACCAGUGGCGAAGGCGGCUCACUGGCCCGGUACUGACGCUGAGGUGCGAAAGCGUGGGGAGCAAACAGG